GUCUUUUCUCAGGUUUGGAGGCCGGAAGCCCCAGGUCAGUGUAGGCAGGGCCUCUCUCCCAGCCCUGGUGGCUCCUGUGGUCCUCGGAGGUCCCGCGGGUGCCUCUCUCCCCAGGUAUCUCUCCUCCACAGCUUUCACACUCUCCAAAUCCAGGAUGAUAUCAUCAAGAUCUGACCUUGACCACGGCUGCAGAGACCCUUUCCUCAGAUAAAGGCACACUCCUCAUGGGCACUGGGGCUAUUUAGGACCUCGACAUGACUGAAGCAACUUAGCAGCAGCAGCAGCAGCAGCAUGGUUUUAGGGGAACAACAGAGCCCCUUAUACCUUCCCCUGGGCCAGAUGCUCAGGUUGAGAAAGACCCCGCUUUCCUACAGGGCACUCGGACCUCAGAAAUUCCAGUCCCUCCUGCCUGGGCCCCACAAGUGAGGGGAAGUGGUACCUGUGCCUGGCAACAGCCCCUGGGGAGAAGCUGCCUGGAGACUGGGGAGGUGGCCCCAGCAGUGGCCUUGCCUUUGUGUGGCUGGGAUUCCCACACAGGAUCUUUAUGUCAUCACUGCCUGGCUGGCUGGUGGGGUCCAGCGUGCAGGGCCAGGCUGUCAACCUGAGGUGCCGUGCAUUCCGGCCCCAUGUCCUCGAAGGCCGCCCACUUGGAGAAUGGGAGUUCCCUCUGCACCUGGCUUUGACCUGAUGGCAAACCAGAUAAGACCUGAAGAAUUACCCAGACACACGCCAUGAUAAGGCCGGUGGUGCAAGAGGCCUCACGUGUGCUGUGCUGCGGGGCCGGCGCUGCAGACAGGCCACUGGAGGCCCUGCGGCGCUGGCUCCCGCCCAGCUCUCCUGUCCCACAUUUGAAGGGCCAUGCAGCCUUGGGGCAGAGGACCUGGUCACUGCAUGCAGCUCCAGGGUCACGACCCCAGGCCAGAGCCCUAGGUGGCUCCUCCUGACACCCCCACAGUGAAGUUCUGGGAGGUGAGUUGUCUGCCAGGACUCACGGGACUUGCUUUAAAGGUAGUCUUCCGAGGGCAAAGGCCCUGAUACAGGUCUGGGCAAGGGCACUCCCAGGCCCCUGGCACCACUCUGCAAAGUCAACCCACAAGGGAGGGUCUCCCUCCAGUGGUCCUGGUCCCCUGGGAGGGGAGCAGGGGCUGAGCAGGGCGUGGUGCCGUUCCUGCCCUGCAUUGGGACGGUAGCAUGGCCCGGCUGGGACGUCUCACGCACAAGACACCUGCACGUCCGCGCGGGGUCCAACCUCGUGUGAGGCACUCGGUGGAGAACUGGCUUGUAGGCUGGAGUAAUCUCUGGUCCAGGGCCCACCGGGAAGGUGGCCUCUGAUCCAGGCAGAGAUGGCGGCCCUCAGAAAGCCCUGCCAGGCCAGCCACUGCAAGGAAACCAGGUGAGCAUGCUGCGGGGCCAGACUAGCAGCUCCAGGGGCGUAUCAGCAGCCUCCUUCAGCCAGCGAUGCUCAGUGGGCAUCACCAAGGGGAGGAUGCAGUGGGGCUAGGCACAG
Long non-coding RNA from Bos taurus (domestic cattle), 1507 nucleotides. Lineage: Eukaryota; Metazoa; Chordata; Mammalia; Artiodactyla; Bovidae. The record is from Ensembl.